This 36289-nucleotide long non-coding RNA is filed under the name Solanum lycopersicum (tomato). RNAcentral's name for it is "long non-coding RNA (SLYC_LNC000051)". The record is from RNAcentral. Lineage: Eukaryota; Viridiplantae; Streptophyta; Magnoliopsida; Solanales; Solanaceae.
AACCCAAACCUAUUCGAGAAGUGUCACAAUAUACCACAAACCCUUUGGUACCCUCGACUAAGGUCAAUACCAGAGCAUAGGUAGAUUAACUUUAAAGUCUUGGUAGCCUUUUUCACAAGUUUCUGACCAUUCAAACUUAACUUUCUUUUGGGUUAGGGUCGUCAAUGGAGAAGCGAUAAAUGUGAUUCAUUAACAAAUCUCCUAUAAUACAUACACAAACCCAAAAGGCUUCGAACGUCAGUUGAAAUUAGGGGUCAAGGACAAUUCUUAACUUGCUCCAUUUUCUUCAGAUCAACCUCUAUACCCACACUCGAUACAGACCAAGAGAAGCAACUGGUCAUAGACAAAACUCGCACUUACUAUAUUUAGAAAAAAAAUUGGUGUUACUUGAGGAUUUGCAAAAAUAUCCUCAAAUGAAUCAUGUGUUCAUCCUCACUUUUGGAAUAUACCAAGAUGUCAUUGAUACGCUCAAACAUACUUCUCAAGUAAGAAGUAAAGCGGUCGUGUUAAGUAAAUAACCCAACAAGUGACGUUGGGAUCGUUCCCACGAGGAAAAUAGUCUAGACUUAACUUCAACCUGUUAUUACUAUUGUUUGGUCAAUGACUUCCUUAGAAAGUAAAAACAAUAAAAUGGGGGUUUCUAAUUCUAAAUGAAUGAAAAUAACUAAUGUAAUUGAAAGAGACACUUAACAGCUUUGAAUGUUGGAUUUUAAUCAAUUAAUCAAAGUAACUAGGGUUUAUGUGUUCCCCACAGGUUCAUAACUAGAUAAUUCUAACUAUAACAAUUCUUUCCUAGUAUCUUGCAUGCAAAGUGAUAAGUUUUGUAUUUCUAAAUCCUUGGUCCGGCAUCUAGAAAAUCUCACUCCGCACCUUGGUCCGGCUACAUGUGUUGCGUUCCUAACCCUUAUCUUUACCUCAUAUUAAGCAUCGUAUUCGAUAUUUUACUAAGUUAUUACCUCGUACCAAUCACUACUAGCCUAUUAGAUAGUAUACACUAAAUCUAUGUUGAUAAUUAUUUUCCCAUUAUCUACCUCCUUGGUCCGGCAAGUAGCAUUAAGACGAGUUCUACGUUGGCCAUCCGUUAAAAAGACUUCUAAGCGAAAAAAUUAUUAAUACAUGCAAGACACCAUUCUAGAAUUGUUAUUUUAGUUAGGUUUUGUCUCAUUAUUUUCCUAUGGUUCCCACAACCCUAGUUAUGGAGUUUAGUUACUCAUAGUCAUAAUCACAAUAUUCAAAUAUAUUAAAUAAGAAUUCAUGUACUAACUUCAAUGAUAAAGAGUAAAAUACGCGAGUUUUCUUGAAUAAUCACCAAAAAUCACCAACAAUCAAUGAUAAUUAAAAGUCAACAAUACAAUGUUUACUAAUACGGUGUCUAACAAUACAGAGUCUAACAAUGAUCCAGAGUCUAACAAUACGGAGUCUAACAGAUAAUACCAUAGUCUAACUAAUAAUACAAGAGCCUAACUAUAUGGAGUCUAACCUCAAAAAUGAGGUUAUUCAAACUAUUUAUAAAAAAUAAAAACCUAAUUAAACAAGGACUCUAUUUGCUGGAAAUCUGCCAAAAUACGGCUGGGUCGACGGACCUCGCGAGGAUCGUCAUGGACACGACGGGCCGUCAUGGACUCCGUCAUCCCAUACUUGUGCAAUUUCCUCUGCUGCUCUUCUUCAUUACCCUCGACGGCAGGUAUGACAGACCGUCAUAGGAACAACAGUCCGUCGAGGGUCUUCGUUCCAAAACACUUCAACUCUUGGAAUAUGGGUACUGGGAUUACUUCUCUGAACUUGACGACGAACCUGCAGGACGGACCGUCAUAGACACGACGGACCAUCACAAGUUUCGUAACCCCACACUUGGUCAGACAUCCCCAUCUUCCUUCAGCGGCUGCACUACGCUGCCACCUACGGACCGUCAUAAGCACGACGAACCGUCAUCCGUAGGUGGUCUCUUCUACAUUUCUUCGCUCAAAAUCUCCGUAUUCAGCUUUGGACAGAUUUCCUGCAAAAUAAAAAGAAACUUAUAUAAAAUUAGCACAAAAAGGCUUUUGGACACACUAAACUUAAGGAAAAAGUAUUAAUAAUUUCGUGAAACUACGGUAUAUCAACACCCUCAACUUAAAUUCGUUGUUUGUCCUCAAGUGACGCACUAUGACUCAAUACAAAAAUCUUUGUACAAUAGUAUUCAUGUUUUAUCCUUUGCAAUCAUUUGGCUAUCAAUCCCGAUUAAUCUCAUCAAAUCUAUGCAUGCUAUCACUAUUAGUCUUGAAUUAUGUGGGAUCAGAACAUGACAUAGACUCACCAUGCACUAACACCUAUCCUCUUCAAUUUGUCACUGAGGUACUAACAAUUCCGGUAUUGCAACUAGUGUCCUCACUUCAAAACAAAAUCCUCCUUUUUCACACAAUGAUUUCAGUUUGAGUAUAAGGAUUACUUUUCAACACUCGCUCACAAAACAAAGUCACACUCAUUCAUACCUAUUUUCAUAAGCUUGCCCUUAUUUUCACUGCCUUAAGUUCGCUAUAUAACCCUUAGGAUCACGAUAGGACUUUUUUAGCUAGUAACAUAGGCUCAGGGUCAAGUAGGGUAUAUUUAGGUAUACAUUAGUGACUUUUUUCCCUCCUUGACAUAUCGGCUAAACCUUCCACUUUUUAUCAUUUUAUCUCGCCUAGAUUCUUCUUGUAUAUUUUUCUUUUUAUUUACUUUUCUUUCAACUAAUUCUUGAGUCACUUUACUUUUGUUCUUUCUCUCUCUUUGUUCUUUCAACCCCAUUUUCCAGAGCAUUCCUUAUAAUAUCCACCCUCAACUCAUGGCUUUGCCAUGAGUCAAGGUCCACAAUACCCAAAGUUGGUUCAGGGCCAUAACGAAGGUUCUUUACUACAUUAGCACCCUCAACUUAUGCUUUUGGCAUAAGCUGAGGUGCACAUGUCCAAGGAGGGACCAGGGCCAACACAUUGUUCCCAGAAAAGAUCAGUUGGGGUGAAAAAGAAAUGUCUAAUUUAAGAUCAGAUCAUUUGGAUCAAAGAAGGAUAAAUUUCAUUUGGUUUCUUUUAUUUAGGCUAAAAAUGGGCUAUAUUGAAUAAGGGCCUAUGAUCCUUUCCUAAUUGUCUAUUACAGCUUGCUUUUAGCAGGACUAACCAGGCAAGUUCUAGCUCAGUACCAAUUGUGGACUAUUCGAAUUUUCCUCACACUCACUUGACAUUUCAUUACUAUACCAGAUUAUCAGACACCUAGUUCAAAUUUUAGACUUAGGGUAAUGCAAUGGUGUACCCCUAUGUCAUGCUUAGGGCCACACAAUUUUCAAUUACUAUGACUAGUCAUGCAUCAUUUUCCAGUUUAUCAGGAUAUCAUUUUAGCCAUUAUGCUUCAGAAUUAAACUAUAUACAAAAGAUAUAAACAUGUCGGUUCAACAGAAAAAGUAAUUAGUCUUUGGGGGAAAAGAACACAAGCAAGAAAACCCUAAAAUAGGAUAGUGAAUUGGGCUACUCAGACUUCACCCUAACACUCACUUUUCAUUUACCCCACCACCAAUAAAAAGCAUGCAAUUUUCCCCAAUGCAUAAAAAAAUUAUCUAGAUAUUAGAGUGGAAGGUGAAGCAAACAUGUGGCGCAAAGCGCCGUCGAUCAGCAAGCUGGUGGGUCCGGUUCCUCGGAACCCAGUAGUGCCCUCAGCAAAAACUGCACAUCAGUAGUGCCUCCUGCUAUAUCUGCAGUGCGGGAGCUAGACGCCCCAGCCGCUAACUGUGAUGCUCUGAUCUGGUGUGCCUCCUCCUCAGCAAGUGAGGCUCUCCUCGCAGCCUCCAUCUCUUGGCACUCCUUCUUUCGUGCUCGCGCCUCAUCCUCUUCUCGACCCCUACGCCUCUUGGAAUUAUCUCAAGGGGGAGGUGGUGGAAUCUCUGAUGUGGAAAAUAGGGCCGCCAACACUGUGUCUUCAGCAGGCUCGACAGAAGGGGCCUCAGACUCUGGAACCCUAGCCUCUAAGAUCGUGUCUAUAUCUACACGAAGACUGCCAACUGCAGCCUGAAGAGUCGACACAUCCACCAGAGGGGCAGGUCGGGCUAACACCCUCAACUCAAAGGCGUCCAAGCGCUGGUGAACCUCAGCAAUCUUCCGCUCUGUAUACUUGACCAUUUUCCGCUCUAGGCGCUCUUCUGACUCAGUAAUUGACUUCUGCAUCUACGGCUGGAUAUGAUGCAUAAUUGUAGCCAUUUGUGCCUCUAAUUUUUGGACUCUAGCAAGCGGGACAAGUGCCGGUAGGGGGACUGUGGGAGAGGAGCUCGGGGCAGUGCUACUACCCGGGAUAGACUCGACCGCGGUAGUGUCAGUGGACGCCACCUGUGUAGCCAUGCGGUCCUGGGCUACCGUAUCAGCAAGAUCAUCAGCAAUGGGGGUAGCUCUGGACGGGGCUCUCUCCGUGGAGCCAACUCAUUGGCCUCAUCUCUGAUGAGGCCGACGUCAACAGUGCCCUGCGGGGUCUUGAGCUAAUCUACGUGCAAUAUAGGCACACCUGCGUACCUGCAAAGAGCAAAGAUCAUGCACGGGAAAGGGUAAGUAGUAGUGACCUUGAAAGCCCUCUCGUGCAUGACUGCUGGUAGAUGCCAAGUGAAGUCCACCUCGAACCCAGCUAUCAUCGCCUCCAUCAACAUUGCUUCAUCCCAUGUAACGAUAUUAUCAGCAAUUGUGGGGGAAAGGCAGUGACGGACAAUCAGCCAUACGAACUUCGUCGUGAAAGUGAGGUUAACCGUCUUAAUGGCCCCCUUUGGCUCAGUUACCCAGUCGGCACCCUCUCCAUCAACUGACAGGUGCAGGGCCAUCAACCUCUUGGUGGUCUCUCUCAUUGAUGGCUCGCGCAGGAACUGGCCUUCUUUAACUAUCUGCCAGCGGUAGUCAAACUCGGUAGUGAGAGGGGUCCGAGUAGCAUCAACACUCUCAUCGUAUAAAAACCAGCGGAUGACAGGCAGGGAAAUGUCAACCUGUACACCCCUGACUCAGACCUGCUCCAGUAGGGCCUGUUUAGCGGGGGCAUCCCGCCUAUCUAUCUGUGAUCGGAGAGUCGCUACGUAGGAUACGUAGAACUCUCAGACAAUUUCUUAACUGUAACGUCCCAACAGACGUGCUCUCCACUCCAAGCGAUGAAUGGUGAAGAGAUUGUGGAUCUCAAGCAUCGUCGGGACAGUCCCUGUAAGGAAACGCCGCUCCAAGGUGAGUGUUCGAGUCAUCACUCCUUUAUCAGUCAGGAAUCUGGCGCCGGAGUAGACUUGAAAUUUCCCAUGGACACACCACUGGUUGGGCUGGUCAGUGGCUGGGGUGGGGACCUGAGCUGGUGAACCUGAUGUGGAUUCUGAACUGUCUGCCUCAUCAGACGAGGCCGAAGCUGCAGUGGUGGUGGGUGCGGGAACCUCAGCAGAGUCGGAGGCUUCCUCUGACCAAGAUACUCCUAAGGAGCCAAACGCUCCUUCUUCAUUUGUAGCUGACUCAGAGGGUGUGCCGGUCAGUGUGCGCUCCUCAUCAGACUGGGAGGCAGUGACUACGCCGGACGGAACUGUUUUGGGUGUGGCUCUGGGAGCACUUGCAGCACAGGAAGGGGUGGAAGUGCCUGGGGGCACGUACUCGGGGUCAUGCUCAUCAUCAAAGCCAAUGACCAUGCGGGCCGACGGGGCAACAGACUUCAAUCGCCCGCGUGCAUAGAUGCGAUCUUGCUUGGGUGCCAUAGUAGAUACUACCUAUAAAAGAUCAAUAUUAGAAUGAGAAGUGGCAAAUAAGACAAGCGAAACCACAAAAACAAUUAAAAUAGUAUGUCAUUACUAUGGUAACAGUGACACAUGACGGGCCUGGUGACGGCUCGUCGUGACUAUGACGGACCAUCAUGGGGUCCGUCCUGUUUUACUUAAACUACGUAUAUAUGGAGAACCCUGAAGGAGAGUCUCUGACUAGUCCGUCGUAGGUGUUCAUCAUAGGACACUUAAAAAAAUAUGGAGACCCUUAGGAGAGGGGUAUCUGACCAUCAUGAUGGUCAUGCAGGACGGACCGUCGUGGGUAUGACGGUUCGUCACAUGUGUCCGUUGAAGGACACUUAGAAAAAGAGAGAGACCUCAAAAACAGGGUCUAUAACAACUAGAAGGUUGUGUAGGGCGGACUGUCUUGAAGACGAUGGUUCGUCACAUGUGUCCGUUGAAGAACACUUAGAAAAAGUGAGAGACCCUCUGAACAGGGUCUCUGACAAACAGAAUGGUUGUGCAAGACGGACCAUCGUGAAGACGACGGUCCAUCACAUGAGUCCGUUGGGGGAUACUUGAAAAAACAUGGUCAGUGGGGUGUUAGGGCUUUUGGAACGGACCCUACGACGGUCCGUCGUGGAACAACGGUCCGUCAUCGGGGUCUUGUUCUGUAGAUCAGUGACAGAACUGGUGUACCCCAUUCAUCCCCGAUGAACCUGAAAAUCAAACUUGUAGUGUUUUGGACCUACAUUUGUCUAACCCAACUACCUAGGAAACUAGUAAUGCGAAAGCACCUAUGUCUAGGGUUGUAAACAUGGAAAUUUCGAAUAUUUUUAACCUAGGUUAGACAGAAUCUUAUAAAAGAGAUGAACAUAUGACGAAGAACUAAGUGAAUACUAAUUAAUAAACAAAAAUACAAGAUAAAUGAGUAGAAAUUAGACACAUACCUUAGAAUUGGAUAAAAACAAGAUGGGUAAGUACUUGGUGACCAAGAAGACACCCACAACAGCAACUCCGACUAGUAGACAAUAACUUCUUGGGCUUUGGAGAAUUUUGGGGGAACAAUGAUAGAGGGAGAGAAUGUGGAAGUUGAAAAGAGAGGGAAAUGGGAGGUAAAAUGAAGGAAUGGGGUGAAAUGAGGGGUUGGGGGGUUUAAACGAUCUGAAUUUGAGAAAGACUCCAGCCGGGUCGGGUCGGGUACGACUCAUUAAUGAGGCAACAAUCCCCGAUGAUGGUCCAUCUCAGUUGUGAAGAUCCGUCGUUGGGUCCAUCGUGUGUGACCUAGUUUGAAACUAAUAGAAAAACGUACUUGGUACGAUGGAGGCAUAUGACGGUCCGUCCCAGGCGCAACGUUCCGUCGAUGUAUCCGUCAGUAACUGCUGCAGAGUAAUUUUCUGCAGAAUUUCCUGGUGAUGUGCCUGUAAAUUUAAAAAUCCAUUAGUAGAAAAAUGCUACCAUUACUAAAAAGACUAUAAGUAUUGGGUUGCCUCCCAACAAGCGCCUGAUAUAAUGUUGCGGCACAACUGAGGACACUUGAUUACUCAGCCUUCAUCAAGAUGGUUUGCCUCUAUUACUUUAUUCCCCGAUGCUUUAUGCCCAAAAUAGAGUUUUAUUCAUUCUCUAUUAACCUCAAAUCGUACUUCCUCCUUGGCUUUUAACUCAAUUGCUCCACGAGGGAAUACUUGGGUAAUCAAGUAAGGGCCAGUCCAUUUGGACUUGAGCUUGCCCAGAAGACAAGGCGACCCAGAACUGUCUACAAGCACCAAUCCCCUAUCUUAAACUCUUGUUUUGCAAUUUUUUGUUCAUUCUCCUUCUUCAUCUUUUCUAUGUGGGAUAUGGCAGAUACCGAUUGGAGCUCACCACUCUGCCUCAUGGUCCUACAAAUGUUGAAGGUCGCUUCUUCAUUAUUCAACGAAAUGUCAUUUGUCCCUUCUCCAUAUCAACUAAGGCUCUACCUGUAGCAAGGAAUGGCCUCUCAAGAAUAAUAGGUACUUCAAAAUCGACCUCACAAUCAAGAAUAACAAAAUCAGCUGGAAAGAUGAAUGACUUCACUUUUACUAGCACAUCAUGAAGUAUCCCUAUAGGCCGUUUCGCUGUCCGAUCAGCCAUCAAUAGCCACAUCACAGUGGGUUUUGGAUCCCUCAAACCCAACUUCUUGUAAAUCGAGAGGGGCAUGAGAUUUAUGCUUGCCCCCAGAUCACAUAAUGCUUUCACAAAAUGUAAUGACCCAACUGUACAAGGAAUAGUGAACGCACCAGGAUCUUCUUUCUUUUGUACGAUGGAUCUUGUAGCAAUAGCACUAAAUGCUGCAGUCUAUCAUCAUCCUCGUAAGUGACCGAUCUUUUGUUUGUAACUAGAUCUUUCAUAAAUUUGGCAUAACCAUGCAUUUGUUCUAGAGCUUCUACCAAAGGGACAUUAAUAGAAAGUUUCUUCAACAUUGUUAUGAAACGCCGAUAUUUACCAUCCUCGGUCUUUUUCACUAAUCUCUGAGGGAAGGGUGGUGGUGGCCUAGGCAUGGGAAUUACCUUGAUAGGUACUUUUUCAUCUUUUCCAUUACUUUCUUCUGCUUCACCACUACCCAUUACCACAUUAUCAUUAUCCUUUCUCAGAUUUUCCUCAGUAGACGGCAUAGGUGGGUCAAUGGUUUGAUUACCACCCCGAGUAGUGAUUUCCAUACAGUGGGCAUCAUUCUUUAGAUUUUGGAUAGUUUUCUAGGAAGAGUGCCCGGUUGCCAUGUGUUCACUAUCGCAGAUAAUUGGGCCAUUUGCAAUUCGAUCGGUUUAAUCAAAAUUGUUUGUGUAUCAACUUUUUUCCCAAAACUAGCUAAAUCACCCCUUAUCUCUUUAAUGUGCUCAUCACUAGCAUCGAACCUCCUCAUCAUUUUGUGCAACAUAUCCUCAACUCACGCCAUACUAUCUCAACCAUCCCUAGGAGUAACUUCACGAUUUUGAGAAGGGACAUAGGGCCUAUUCCUGUCAUUUCUAUUAGCAUAGUUACCCCUUUUAAAGUUGUUGUCGCAGUUGUAGUUCCAUCUCGGACAUAAUGACACUCACAAUUGUAGUUACCAUAGUUCUGACCUUUGUUCCCUUGACCUUGGCCCCAAUUAUCCUUAUUUGAGCCUUGGGCGCUUGGUCGGAAACCCCUCAUCUGCUCAUUUACUGCAUAAGUGUCCUCCGCAUAAUAGCAUUCAUCGUUAGGAGGUGGUGGUUUUGCAAAGUAGUUGAAUGCAUUUAUUUUUUUUGCACCCCCAAUGACAUGUUUUAGUACCGACCCAAGCUCAGUUCUCAUCUGUGCCAUUUCUUCACGAAUCUCAUCUGUGGCUGGGUUGUGAGUGGACUGCACUGUGAAGGUGUUUCUCCCUAUAUCAGACUUCCUAGUACUCCAAGCUUUGUUAUUCUGGGAGAUUUUCUCUAAUUUUUCACCAAUCUCAGCAUAAGGACACUCCCCAUAACAUCUACCUGCUAUAGUGUCCAACACCACUUUAUUGUUAUCAUCCUGUCCCCGAUAGAAGUAUUCCUUCAGUGACUCAUCAUCUAUACAGUGAUUUGGAACACUUCUCAAAAAUAGGUGAAUCUAUCCCAAUAACUACUAACUGACUGACUCUCUGGUAGUGCCACAAAGUUGUUCACUCUGUCUUUGUGGUUUAGUUUCUUAGAGACCGGACAAUAGUGUGCUAAGAAAACAUACCUUAGUUGGUUCCAAGUGAAGAUUGAGUUUUAUGGGAGCUCAGUGAACUAUAUAGCAGCCUCUCCCGUCAGUGAAAGAGGAAACACUCUGAGCCCUAUUACAUCUAAAUCCAAGUCAGGCCUCCCUACACAACUUUUACACACUACCCUUACCUUAUCUAUAUGGGCAUGUGGAUCCUCAGAAGGUAGCGCUGAAAACAAACUCUAGCAGUCAGCAUUUGCAUCAGGCUACUAGUUACCACAAAUGUGUCGCCUGUGGGUAGAGGAGGCAAGACAAGUGGCCCAUCCGAGUCUGCUAUGUUAUCAUAGCCUUUGUAGUUUGCCUGGGGCCGUGGAACAGGAUUUUGUCCCCUCCGUUAAUGUUCACCCCCAAGCAUCGGGUAACAUCUGACCAUGAACAUCAACUGGAGCUGGGAUGUUCUGGUUUGGAUCAUCAUCAUUUAUUCCCAAGUUUUGAUUCAUAUUGCACAGUGUACGCUCUAACUCGUGAUCGUAGGGAAACAAGGGUUCUCUUCCUCUCCGUGUAUUUGGAAUACAAAGAGGAUAGUUUUGAAAAAAAAUCAAAAACAAUAAAACAAAGUAAAAUCAAGAAAAUAUCAACGAAACUAUAUUAAUAAGUUCAAGUUAAUCUAAAAGCUAUAAUCCCCGGCUGCGGUGCCAAAAUUUGAUACGCUCAAACUUACUUCUCAAAUAAGAAGUAAAGCGGUCGUGUCAAGUAAAUUACCCAACUAGUGAGGUUGGAUAGUUCCCACGAGGAAAAUAGUCUAGACUUAACUUCAACCUGUUAUUACUAUUGUUUGGUCAAUGACUUCCUUGGAAAGUAAAAACAAUAAAAGUGGGGUUUCUAAUUCUAAAUGAAUGAAAAUAACUAACACAAUUGAAAGAGACACUUAACGGCUUUGAAUGUUGGAUUUUAAUCAAUUAAUCAAAGUAACUAGGGUUUAUGUGUUCCCCACAGGUUCAUAACUUGAUAAUUCUAACUAUAACAAUUCUUUCCAAGUAUCUUGCAUGCAAAGUGAUAAUUUAUGUAUUUCUAAAUCCUUGGUCCGGCAUCUAGAAAAUCUCACUCCGCACCUUGGUCCGUCUACAUGUGUUUCUUUCCUAACCCUUAUCUUUACCUCAUAUUAAGCAUCGUAUUCAAUAUUUGACUAAGUUAUUACCUCGUACCAAUAAAUACUAGCCUAUUAGAUAGUAUACACUAAAUCUUUGUUGAUAAUUCUUUUCCUAUUAUCUACCUCCUUGGACCGGCAAGUAGCAUUAAGGCGAGUUCUACGUUGGCCAUACGUUAAAAAGACUUCUAAGCGAAAGAAUUAUUAAUACAUGCAAGACACCAUUCUAGAAUCGUUAUUUUAGUUAAGUUUUAUGUCAUUAUUUGUCUAUGGCUCCCACAACCCUAGUUAUGGAGUUUAGUUACUCAUAGUCAUAAUCACAAUAUUUAAAUAUAUUAAAUAAGAAUUCAUGUACUUACUUCAAUGAUAAAAAGUAAAAUCCGCGAGUUUGCUUGAAUAAUCACCAAAAAUCACCAACAAUCAAUGAUAAUCAAAAGUCAAACAAUACAAUGUUUACUAAUACGGUGUCUAACAAUACAGAGUCUAACAAUGAUCCAGAGUCUAACAAUACGGAGUCUAACAGAUAAUACCAUAGUCUAACUAAUAAUACAAGAGCCUAACUAUAUGAAGUCUAACCUCAAAAAUGAGGUUAUUCGAACUAUUUAUAAAAAAUAAAAACCUAAUUAAACAAGGACUCUAUAUGGUGGAAAUCUGCCAAAACGCGGCCGGGUCGACGGACCUCGCGACGGAUCGUCAUGGACACGACGGACCAUCAUGGACUUCGUCAUCCCAUACUUGUGUAAUUUCCUCUGCUGCUCUUCUUCAUUACCCUCGACGGCAAGUAUGACGGACCGUCAUAGGAACAACAGUACGUUGAGGGUUUUCGUUUCAAAACAAUUCAACUCUUGGAAUAUGGGUACUGGGAUUACUUCUCUGAACUUCAUGACGAACCUGCAGGACGGACCGUCAUAGACACGACGGACCAUCACAAGCUACGUAACUCCACACUUGGUCAGACUUCCCUAUCCUCCUUCAGCAGCUGCACUACGCUGCCAUCUACGAACCGUAAUAAGCACGACGGACCAUCAUAAGCUCCGUAGGUGGUCUCUUCUGCAUUUCUUUGCUCAAAAUCUCUGCAUUCAGCUUUGGAUAGAUUUUCUGCAAAAUAAAAAGAAACUUAUAUAAAAAUUAGCACAAAAAGGCUUUUGGACACACUAAACUUAAGGAAAAAGUAUUAAUCAUACCGUGAAACCAUGGUAUAUAGUCAUUAAUAAAGAGGAUUACAAAUGAUUCAAGAUAAUCCCAAAAUACCUUAUUCAUAGGGUCCAUAAACGUUAUUAGGGCAUUAGUUAGACCAAAGGACAUUACUAAGUACUCAUAUUGAACAAACCUUAGUUUGAAAAUCGUUUUAGGAAUGUCAACACCUCUAACUCUAAGUUGGUGAUACCACGACCUCCAACCGAUAUUUGAAAAAGAUAAAUCUCCCUUUGGAGUUGGUCAAACAAAUCAUUAAUUUUAGGGAAAGGAUACUUAUUCCUUAUAAAGACCUUGUAUAAAUAGUGGUAAUAAAUACACAUCCUAAGAUACCUAUCUUUUUUUUUGACAAACAAUACCAGAGCUCCCUAUGAAGAUAUUCUUGGUUGGAUAAAACCCUUGUCUAGCAAAUCCUUGAGUUGAGCUUUCAAUUCUUUCAACACGUCCGGAGUCAUCUGAUAAGGAGGAAGUGAUAUGGGUUGAGUAUUCUCCAAAAAAUAUAUGCCGAAAUAUAUUUCCCAUUCAGAAAGAAUUUUGGGCAAGUCAUUGGGAAGACUUUCGAAAAAUCCUUCACUGCGGGGACCGACUACAAAGGAGGAGCCUCAGACCCUAGGUCCUUGACCCUCACAAUAUGAUGAAUACAUCUCGUAUAAAUCAUUUUAUAAUAUUUUAGGCAUUAAAUAAUUUGACCUCUAGGGAUUGAGUUUCCCACCUUCCAUUCUAACAUGGGUUAAUUAGAAAAUUGGAAUUUAACUACCCUCGUUCUAUAGUCAAUUGAAACAAAACAAGUAGUAACCAAUCCAUCCCCAAUAUGACAUCAAAGUCCAACAUAUCGAGUUAUACUAAAUCAAUUAAUGAUACUCUAUUGGUCAAUAUUAUGGAACAACUCCUAUAGACUCUUUUAGCUACCACGGAGUCACCCACUUAGGUACAAAUCGAAAAAAAUUCUGCUAAAACAUCGAGUAAACUAAAUUUCAUAGCACAAAAAGAGAUACAAAAGACAAUGUUUCACCGAGAUCUAGUAAUGCUUAAACAUUAAUUGAAAAUACUUAUAAGAUAACGGUAACAACUUCGAGAGAUCCCUCUUGAUCACCUCUAGAUUUGAGAGCAUAGAAACGGUUCUUCUUAAGAGCAUCAAAAUUAAGACCACUUGAUUAUGCUCGAUUACUCUCCCUUCCUUGAGUCUUGAACAAGGGAUAAUCUUUCACCAUGUGACUACUCUUUCCACGAUAAAAAUAAUUAUUAGUACCCACUAGACAUAUACCCAUAUGCCUAUUGAAACAUUUGGCACAAUUGGGUUGCUCACUUUGUCAACCCCCACUUUUUCCCUCUUCAGUCUGAGGUUAGGUACUCUAUCAUUAUUAUCACUUAAUAAAUUAGAACAAACUUGGUUGGAGUCUCUUUUCAUAAACUUUGGCUUGUAUUGGAUUUAAAACUACCCUUAGAAGUACCUCCAUCAUAUAGUCUUGACCUUUUGGAAUCCCUAUUUAUCUUCCUAUUCCUACUCUUCUCAAAUUGUUGAGCAUGCACCAUCAAACAAGAAAUUUCCAUGUCAUUGUGAAGCAUUUACACACGACACUCUUCUACAAGAUCAUCGGACACACCCAUCACAAAACGACUCAUUUCAUGUCAAGAAUUAGUCACCAAAGACGAAGCAUAUUUGGACAAGAUGAUAAAUUUCAAAGAGUAUUCUUGACACUCAUACCUCCUUGACGAAGGUUGUGAACUCUUUCAAUUUUUCCUCUAUUUUCUCCCUUAGGAAGAACCUAUCAAGAAUUUCCCUCCUAAAGAAUUCCUAACUUAUGGGACCCAAACUCAAAGCCCUAUUGUCCUUUCAUUGAGUGUACCAAGUUUGAGCGACAUAUUUUGGUUAAUAAGAAGCUAGCUCGGCCUUCUCAUUUGAACUCACCCCGAUAGCAUACAAGACCUUAUAAACCUCAUGUAUAAAGUCUUGAAGAUAUUCAUUUACCUUAGACAGAAAGAACAUUGAAGGAUUCAUUCUAGUGAAGUCCGUCAAAUGUGAAGCCAUGGUACUAGCUUGUGUCGUCAUAGCUUGAGAUUGAGUAGUUACGGCUAGAUCUUGAGUAGCCAUUACUUGAGACAAGUUUAGAAAAAUUGUCUAUAUCUCUCCAUCUGUCAUGACCAGAGGAUUGACCAGAGCUUGGUCAGCUAAAGGAACUUGCUCGUGAUGGGGAUCUUGGUUGCCUUGGAGAGGGACUUCCGCAUUCGCAAUCUCCUCUUCAACCCUUCUUGCGGCUGCGCUUCUAGGAGUCAUAUACUAUAUUCACAAGAAAAUGAUUAAAAUUAAAGGACACAUAGAGUUAGACUCUACAGACACCACUUAAGGAUACCAAAAAAGUGAGAAUUUCUUAAGCAUCACAUAGUCUCUCAAUCACAAGUGAAUCGCACUUCAUAAUUAUGAACAAGACACUACAUAGACGUGGUUUUGUGAGACAUCAUUCCUAGUAUUAUUCAACCUCAUGCUUUGAUACCAAUUUUGUUACAACCGAGAGCUUCCCUAGUCGUAACCAGUGUCAUCGACCUCGAAAAGGUCUUAUACAAGCCCUUAGCAUUCAUCAUUGCAUAAUAGAUAGAAUAAAAGCAGAAAAUUUAAAACUUUUAGUUUGAAGUUCAAUUUCACUUCAUAUAUCAAAAUAAAAACUAACUUAUCUCACAUUGUCAUCUAGACAUAAGAGUACGAAAAUUAGGACUUAGACCUUACAUUAACAACAAGUCUUAUAAUACGAAUACAAUAUAGUCUUUGAAUAAGGAAAGUGUAACUAGAAUUAGAAUCAAGAAUCUUCAUCUCGGACUUGAGGACUCACCAACUUGGGAAUAGAAAUCGAAGUUUCUUCAUUAAAGGACUAUAAUCACCUCAAUGACCCGAACCUACACUCGUGUAGAAAAUAGAAGAAAUAUGUGUUAGAACAAACCACAAGUACUAAGAAUGGAAACCUAAGUAAAUAAAACAUUUAAAACAUGCACAAAAGGACAUUUGGUUAUAAGCAUGUCAUAUUCCAUUUAAAGGCCUUCAUGCAUAUUUCAAGAAUAUAUACAAGUCCAUACCAUAAGUCAAAUCAUGAUAAAUCCAUAGUCAAAAUUUCAUAUUUAGAGUCCAUUUCAUCAAUACAUCACAAGACCUUAUUCAUAACCCCUAAAUCAAGUCAACUAGUGCAUUCUGUAUAUGAAGCCCCAUAACCCCACACACCAAGCAAUGAUCAAGAAGAUCACAAGCACUAUCAUUACCUCCUACGUCAUCAUACCAAGUAUAGCCAACAACAUGCAUAUCAAGUGAAACCAACAUCAUGUAUAUCAAGUGAAACUAACUUCAAGCAUAUCAUAUGGUACCAACAUCAUGCAUUUCAUUCAUAAGAUAUAUACAUAAAUAACACACCCUACAACUCAUCUCAAGACUGACUUAUGCAAUGCAUAGGUUAAGUCUCAUACCCUAACCUAUACUAAGUAACAUCUCUCGAAUAGUCCUAAUUAGUGGUCAUCUUAUUACUUUCAUUCAUUUUGGAAUUCGGGAAACUUCGACAAAAAUGACAUAGACCAUGUAAGCUACAUGGACUACGAUGUCAACCCCUCACACCCAAAGGAGGGUGUCCCACUUGCAAAGGUAAGACAUAAACGUUCGUAAUAGCAUCAAGGUGGAUCCACGUGCUAAGGUUCAUAUGGGACACAUAGUUAAAGAACUAGGAGGUUGUUGCUAGAAACCCUCUUUAUGAUAAUUAGUAUUUUAGUAUCCACGUCAUGAGAUCAUCAAGUGAGCCUUUAUUCCUUUGUGAAGGAAUGCCUCUCAUUGUCAAGUUCACUCAGUGCUAAGCUAAAUUCCCUUUUUGAAGUGUCUUUAAGUCUUUCUUAAAAAUCAAUUCAUAAUGUAGGUCUUAGGAGUUUAAUACCUCAUAUAACAUAUACAUAUCCCAUAGGUUCAAGGAUGAGAAAGUUCUUUCAUCACAAACCCAAUAUUAUGUGAGAACAUUACUUCAUAAACAUAGUCAUAGAAUGUAGUAAUUUCCUUCAAUUCCCCUUAACAGAAAACCUACCAUCAUCUCACAAUCAUCACAUUCAUAUUAAUGAAAAUACAUUCAUACAUUCAUCCUUUGUACUUCAAGUAAUCAACAUUACUAAAUAUAAACCAACAAUACUACAAUAGAAUGUCAUAGCCUUAAAGGUAUAAGAUACCCUUUCAAGAUUCCAUCUCAAAUCCAUAACGUUCAUCCAUAAAAUAUGUUAUCAUCAUCAUACUAUAGUCAAUUAUACAAGAACAUACUAAAUAACAUCACCGAUAAUCAUUAUUCAUGAUAAUUCAAGGGUUAGGGUCAAGAGAAGAGGGACAUUCCUAGGUCUUUAGAGAAUUAGAUCAAAAACCUAUACAAUACAUCAAUUCACUCAUGAACAUUCUUAUUCAAUCGUUAUUAAUGUACCUUAACUUAAUAAUUGUAUUUGUAAUUACCCAACUAUCCCUACCCUAUCCAUGUGGAGAUAGUGAUUCCAUGAACCAUCCCCGAAUCCCCACCCACGGGGCAUGGAUUGAUCCACAACUAUGUUGGUCACGCGUGGAUUGAGACUACGGGGUGCAUCCUAGGGUCUUGGUGAGGAGAGUAAGUCUCAACUCAUGAGACACUUCCACGGAGCAUGAGUCGGUUAACGGACCAUACUGCACAUUCCUGGUUUUGAUUCCCGACUCCUAUUAGUCACUUGACAGCUCGUGGCUGGAGCCUCAUGGAGAAUGUUGUUUUAUACAACUUUUAGAACUAAGGGUUUGGUCCUCCUUAAGGACCCUUGGGGUGGACCUUGGGUCGUACCCGGAUGUUUGGGCCCUAAACAGAUUAUUUAACAUAUUUAAAAACAAUUCCAAGGUUUAGUCCUCAUAUGACUCUUCAAAACCCAUACAAGACCUAAGGACACAGUAGAUCACUAUCACUAGUUUCCGUACGUCAUGGUCAUUUUCUUGAUGCUUAUGCACUAACACUUCCAAAAGAAGUUAGUUAUGGUAGAAUAGGUCUUGAAACAUUAUUUUAACCUUUUUAUGUCAUUAAACUUCUGUUAAAGUCCUAGCUUAGGUCAUUCGAUUUAUGAGGUGUAACACUUUUACUCUUCAAGUUCUUCUCUCAAAAACCCUCUAAAACAUAGAGCAAAGAACUUAGAUAAAAAUUGGAAAAAUAAGAUAAUUGUGUGUUCUAAUAAUAAUAGUUCUAUAUGUAAGCUAAAACACUACAUAAGUAUUUAUAUUUUUUAAAGAUUAGUGUUGCAGCGGCAUGCUCGACGACAUUAGUCAAAAUUGCUGAACAAAUCGGUGAUUUUCCUUUUGAUUACUUCAUUGUCGUCUAGCGCAUAGUACAAGAAUCUUUGUGUUAUAUAUCACUAGGCAACAAAAUAGUGCUUCACAGACUUCUCGGUUAUAAACCGACUGCUCCUUUAUACAUCCGAUUUGAACCUUUUCUUCAAGGCUCAACACACUGAAACAAAAGGUGAUCUUCAGACCUAUCGGCGAUCCUCUUGCCUUCAUUUCUCCAUUCUUUUUUUUUCUUUUUGCCAAGUAGAGUCCAAGCUAUGCCUUAAACUCAAAGUACGUGAAACUCAAGUUUAUCGAUUAGUAACUGGGAUAAAACAAGCAAUUAAGUACAUUAUUUCUAUCAAAAUAUAACCCUAAAUGAGUCUAAUCUCAGGACUUAUCAACACCCUCAACUCAAACUUUUGUUUGUCCUCAAGUAUAACUCAAUUUCAACAGUUCAAAAAGGAUGUCUUAAACAGUGCUACACAAGAUGCAAUCAUAAAUGUACACAACAUGACUCAGUUUACUUAUGGAAAAAUCAAUUGUGUACCCAAAGAUUUAAGUUGUGACACACCAUUACCAACGAUUCUCAAGCUCGCAAUACUUUCUUCAUAUGCAAGUUCAUGCUCAACGAAAUCAUUUGUAUGCCCUAACAUACAUAAUGAUUCUAUUCUCACACACAUGAUGUUAAUCAUUUAAGGUUAGGGGAUCGAAUACAACUUACACUCUCAAAAAGAGGAACACAAUGCAUGAUUUCACCCAUUAGUUUGCUCUUAUUUUUUAUCAACAUUUCUUUUAGCUUUCUCAAGAUCACAGAGGUCGUUUUAUGGCUUGUAAUAGGGCUGUGUGCAAAGAUAUGGUCAUUUGGGCUCAGUGACUAUGAUCCACAUGAGAUGUGGUGCCCAAAACACUUCCUUUAUUUUCCUCUCAUUAAAUUCAUUAGUCCUUACAAGUCAUCCCUUUUAUUCACUUUCCUAUAAUAUGUUGGGAACCCUCUUUUUCUUUUUGUAACUUUUGAGUUUAUUUCACAACUUUUCCUUUUUCUUUUUUUCUUCUUUUCUCGCUUUUCUCUUUUUCUUUAUAUGGAGGGAUUUCAUUUUAUCAACACAAUGGGUAGACGGGAUCUCUCUUGCACUUCUUGACUUGAUUUCUCCUUUAAACACACCCCCAACUUAGGCUUUUAAUCUAAGUUGGCUAUGCUAUUAAGAACAAAUCUAGAGGAUUAUGUGUAAAGGGUUAAGAGAGGUCAUGUUGUUGUCAAGUUUCUUCCAAUUAAUGGUAAGGGUCAAUGGGUGUUCAAGAGAGAUUCACACAAUCACAAGGUAGGUCACAAAAGAGGUAUAUGUCAAAUAAGCUUACACUCUUAAAAUUGCCUAAUAUCAUAUCAAGAGAAAACUUUAACUAGAAAUAAAACCAAAUAAAUGUAAUAAAAUAUCUAGAUAAAAUUUUAAAUUUGAAGAGAGUUAAACUAAUAGUAGUAAAAAAAGAAGGUGAAGUUGUGGUACAAAGUAACCAUAAAAGUGAGAAGCUACAAUGAAGAUGACAACGAAUUUUUGAAGAACAAGGAAGAAAGAAAAAAAGUAAGGAGAAAAAGUUAAAAUAAUAAGAAGAACAAAACCAAAUGUUUUAUAGCAAAAUGCUCGUAAAAUAAAAUUACAUUCAUUUUUUAGUUUGUUCACGUUCUUUAAGAGAAUGCAUACACACUUUAUGUCAGGUUGACAAAAAAUGAUGUAAUGUAAUAUCAGUUUUGGAUUUUUUAGGGGGAAGGUAGGGUAAUAGGAUGCUUGCAUGGUUUAAGUGUUUUUUUGAAUAUUCAAGACAACUUCAAGUGUCACUUUAUGUUUUUCUCUACUAUUGUCUCCAGUAUCACAUGAUGGUAACAAUGCAGUUUAGAAUAUAUCUUAAUUGCAAUAGCUCAUCAUAUAUGCAUACGAUGCCAACAAUAACAUUUAUAAAAAAUAUGAUAAUUCCUUCUUACAAAUUUUUAUUAAAUCUUAAUAAUUGUGAUUGAACCUACAAAAUCCCUAUUACAUUUAUGUGUCAAACUGUUAACCCAAAUACAAUAUAAUUUAUAUAUUCUUAUUAUAAAGCUCUACAUCUUACUAAUAUAAGAAUUUAGAAUCAAAACAUGAGGACAAAUUAACAAAAGGGAAUGAAUGUGGUCACGAUUGUAAUAAGGUGUAAAUCAAUUUAUCCGAAUAGUAAUUUCAUAUGUACUAAUAGAUGUUCUUGGCGUACUCCUAUUAAAAUCUACAACAUAUAUAAAACUUUUCUAAUAAAGUUCACUUUUUCCCUCAUUUUACAUGAAACUUCAGAUGAUGUCCAAAAGAAAAUUAUAAUGCAAUUAAAGUUUCAAUUACAAUAAUAGCAAAACAAAUAGAUAUAGUAAUUGUAUUACACAAAUAUAAAAAAUUUGUCGAGAUGUAGUAUCGACAAAACACUCAAAGUAGUCAACGUUGUAUUACAAUUUACAUUAUUAAGGCUAAAAAAGAAUAUUUCUUCCCUAAAUAAAGAAUGGGAAUUAGUCAAACUAUUUUUGCAUAUUCUGUCUAAAUGAUGCAACUAACUUUAUCAUCUCGUAAAAUAAUUGAAUGUAUAGUUGUUAUUUACCUACGAGUAAUUUGGUUGUCAUAAGAAAUUUAGUUUUUCAACUUUCUUUAUCCAUUUGAGGAAAAUGAAUGAUAUUUUUACUAUUUUAUAGUAGCUUAAUCGGAGAAGUAUAAAUGUUAGACUUUUUAGAUGUCAUACAUUCAUUUACAAUAAAUGUGGUGUGCAUUGACUUUCAUCUCUUAGAAUUCUUCAUGCUUUGACAUAACGUGAAAAUAUUUUAAGUAAAGUACGGAUCAUUCUCAUUCAGAUAUCUUACUCAAUUCCAUCAUUAAAUAAUUUCAUGCACAUUGAAUAAUUUUAAAACUGAUUUCAUCUAUAUUUAAUUAGUUAUUAGAAUACAUAUUUGGUUUUGUAAAGGAAUUAAAUAGGAAGUGUUUUGAAGGUCAAAAAGGUAUUUCAACUUUUCAAUUUGAUGUUCCCACUUUUAGGGCAUGUUUGGAAGGAUACCCUAGUAUUGGAUUUGGUGUAAUUGAGUGUAAUUACAACAUAUGUCUUGUUUGGCUGGAUAGGUAAUUAAUAACUUGAUUAGCAGGUAAUUGGUGUAAUUGGCAGGGAGUAAUUACACUCUACAAUUCACAGGCAGAGGCUGUGAAUUGCUAGAAAUUAUAUGGUGUAAUAGCUUAUUACUUUUCAAUUUCUUUUUUUUUCCUAUUUUCCUUUUUUGGUUUUAAUUUUUACUUCAAUUAUUUUAUAUUCUUUUUUAAUUUUCAUUAUUCUAAAAAAUCAUUUUUUAUUUUUUUAUAUUAGUAUAUUUCAUUUUUUUGUUUUUCUCUGUCUUACUUUACAUGAUUCUAGGCAAUUUUUUCGUAUUAUCUAUUUUUUAAGAAAUGCUUAUUUUCUCACUAGCAUAAUUUAAUUAGCAUUCUAUUCUUUAAUCAAAAUAGAAUUUAUUGUUAAGUAAAGUUAUAAAUUUACUUUUUAAAGAAAAAUAAAAAUAAAUCAUAUUUAUGGGCGUUAUGUUGAAAUAUGCUCUAAGAGUAUCAUGUUAAAUUUUUUGUUUUGAUUUAUAUAUAACUUUUGUUAUAUUUUCAAUGUCAUUUGUUUUAGUAAUAUUGAAUUCACAUUGCACGUCAUUUUUCAAUUAAUCUUGAUAGAUUAUCUUUUUGUCAAACAUUUAAUAAUUUAUGACAUUUUAUUUAUAUAUUAUUCUUUUUUUCAAACAGCUAUUUCACGAUGUUCGUAGAAAGUUCAUACUUUUAAUUUUUACGAUCAACUCUAUUGAAAUUUAUAAAUUUCAAAAAAUAUAAACCAACUAUUCUUUUCAUAAUAGAGGUUAAAGAAUAUAUAUUUAUUAAUUAAUAUAUUUUUUAAAAAGAAUAUACAUAUACAUAUAUCUUAAAUUUUAUUUAAUGUCAUUCAUAAGGUUUCUUAUUUGUGUAGUAUAUAUUUUAAAUAAUCAAUUUUUAUUUCAAUAUAAUUUUAUGAUUAUUACUGUGUGCAUCCAAACAAAAACUGUCUAAUUACACUUUGACAUCCAAACAUGUCAUGUGUCAUUAAAGAGUUGUAGUCAGUUAAAACUUAUUAAAUAUAAAUUUAUAAAGUUGUUCGAAUUAUAUUAAAUUAAUGAAUAUAUUAGUCCAAAUAAAUAUUAUGAAUUAGUAUAAUUAAUUUAAUUAAUUAAAUUCAGAAAAAUAUGAAUUUAAUUAAACCACGUUCCAUAAAUCCCAUAUGAUUAUUCACUUAAAUCUGAUUGGACGAAGGGAAUCCUGUUCCAAUCGCAACUCCUCUAUUCUAAAACUAUAAAUAGGGGUCUCAUAAUUCAGAAAAGAAAACCAAGAGUUCUAAACAAGAAGCUAGAGAAAGCUCUUGGAUCAAAAGACAUAAAUUUCUCAACAAGUUCAAGAAUUCAAGUUCAAGAUUUGAAGAAGUCAAGAUCAAGUUCAAGAACGAUUAAGAUCAAGACGACCAAAUUCAAGAUCAAGCUCCAAGCCCUUGAGUUCACCUACAAUGUCCAGAUCAAGAUAAAGUUUAGGUCAAUAUCAAGAUCAAGUCCAAGUAUUAGUUCAAGUCUAAAAUCAAGUUUUAGAACGAUCAAAAUCAAGACCACUCAAUUCAAGAUCAAGGUGCAAGCCCUUUAAUUAAACUAGAAAGAAAAGAUCAAUAUAAAUUUCAAGUCAAGAUCAAGAUCAAGUCCAUGUAUAAGUUCAAUUCCAAGAUCAAGUUAAAGAACGAUCAAGAUCAAGACUACCGGAUUCAAGAUCCAAAUAAAGUUCAAGUCGAGAUCGAGAUCAAGUCCCAGUAUAAAGUCCAAGAUUAAAUUCAAGAUCAAGUUCAAGAACGAUCAAGAUCAAGACCACCGGAUGCAAGAUCAAGCUCCAAGCCCUUGAAUUCAACUAGAAAGUCAAAUAAAGAUAAAGUUCAAGUCAAUAUCAAGAUCAAGUCCAAGUCCAAGUUCAAGUCGAAUAUUAAGGUCAAGAACAAUCAAGAUCAACACCACCCGGUUCAAGAUCAAGCUUCAAGCCCUUGAAUUCUAUUAGAAAGUCAAGAUCAAGAUAAAGUUCAAGUACAAGAUCAACAUCAAGUCCAAAUUCAAGUUCAAGUCCAAGAUCAAGAGCAGGAUCAAUAUAAAUCCCAAGUUCAAGAUCAAGCUUGAAAUCCCUUGAAUUUGAAAAGGAUAAUUCAGAGAAAUCAUAGAGAUUGUAACACUCGCACUUGAAAUAAUAAAUAGAUUGUUGCUAGAAUUUUCCGUUCUUGAUUAUUGUUUUCUCCACGGAGUUUUAUUUUCUAAAAAUUCAAGAACGCCCAGUGGGACAAUCUCUACCUCUCAUCUCAACUUUUAAAGCAUCCAAUAAUAUCAAGAUGUCUUCCACCAUAGAAAAACAACUAGCAAGCUUAUACAAAGCAAUUGAAGGCUUGACAAAGUGCGCACACGAACAAGAUGCUAAACUUUCUAAGCUAACAAAUAAGAUGGAUAACAUGAUCGAAAAAAGAUCAAGUCAAUCACUUUUGAAGAUUUCCAAAUUCAAGACAAAGGAGAGUUUUGCGUAAAGAAAACAUAGAUCAAAAAGAUUCAUAUCUCAAUUGAAGGUUUGAUUCUGAUUAAUCAAUUAAAGAACAUUAUUGUAGAGUCCAUCGAAGACAAAUUUUAGUCUUCAUUCAAAUUUUCUCCAAUAUAUGCAAAGCCAUAUACACAAUGGAUUGAUAACUUUAUAAUUUCUGGGGUUAUCAACCUCCUAAGCUUCAACAAUUUUAUGGCCAAGGAAAUCCUAAACAACAUAUAGCGCACUUUAUUGAGACUUGCAAUGUUGUUGGGAAGUAUGGUGAUUAUAUUGUUGAAGAGUUCAUUCGAUCACUUAGACAAAAUUCCUUUGAUUGGUACACAGAUUUUGAACUUAAUUCUAUAGAUAGAUGGGAGCGAUUAGAGCAAGAGUUCCUUAAUCGUUUCUAAUGCAAGAGACGUGUCAUUAGUAUGAUGGAACUUACAAAGGCUCGUCAAUGUAAAGAUGAGCCAAUUGUUGACUUUAUCAAUCGCUGGAGAAGUCUAAGCAUCAACUGUAAAGAUCUCCUUAGUGAAAUUUCUAGUAUUGAAAUUUACAUCCAAGGUAUGAAUUGGGGUCUUCACCACAUUUUGCAAGGAUUAAAUCCCAAUACAUUUGAAGAGUUAGCAACUCCUGCACAUGACAUGGAUAUAAUUAUGACUUAAAGAUAAGAUCAGUAAUCUCCUAUCUAUGAACCUCAUGAAGAUAAAUAUAUAGAAGAACUCCAAAAUGGGGGCAAGUCUGCAUCUGAAGAUGAAUUUGAAGAGUCAAUGUAUAUAGACGCUCCUUAAUGCAUGACCUUAAACUGAAAAUUACAAUGCUCCUUGAAAUACGAGCUUAAACUGUAUGUCUUCAAGUUAAUAUGCUCGUUGAAACAUGAUCUUAAACUGUAUGUCGCUUAAAUUUUAACGUUUGACAUAAAUCUUCAAGUUGAAAUGCUCCUUGAAAUACGAGCUUAAAUUGCAUAUCACUUGAAUCUUCAAGUUGAAAUGCUCCUUGAAAUACGAGCUUAAAAUGUAUGGCACUUAAAUCUUACAGUUUGAGUUAAAUCUUCCAGUUGAAAUUUUCCUUAAAACAUGAUCUUAAACUGUGUGUCACUUAAAUCUUCAUGUUUGAGUUAAAUCUUCAAGUUGAAAGGCUCCUUGAAAUACUAGCUUAAACUAUAUGUUACUUAAAUCUUCAAGUUAGUGUAAAAUUUUCAAGUUGAAAUGCUCAUCAUAAUACGAUAUUAAAAUGUAUGUCACAUAAUACUUCAAGUUUGAGUUAAAUCUUCAAGUUGAAAUGAUCCUUGAAACACGAGCUUAAAGGAGUUAGUUGUUAGUUAAAUCAAGGUAAAGAUGAUUUAGUUGUUAGUUAAAUUUCUAGUAUUGAAAUGUGCAUCCAAGGUAUGAACUGGGGUCUUCACUACAUUUUGUAAGGAUUAAAUCUCAAUACAUUUGAAGAGUUACAAACUCGUGCACAUGACUUGAAUUAACCAUAACUUUAAGAGAAGAUCGUCAAUCUCCUGUCUAUGAACCACAUGAAGAUGAAUAUCUAGAAGAACUCCAAAAUGGGGGCAAGUCUGCAUCCAAAAAUGACUUUGAAGAGUCAAUGUAUAUCUAGACUCUCCUUAACGCAUGAGCUUAAACUACAAGUUACAAUGAUCCUUGAAAUACGAGUUUAAAUUAUAUGUCUUCAAGUUGAAAUGCUCCUUGAAACACAAGCUUAAACUGUAUAUCGCUUAAAUAUUAAAGUUUGACUUAAAUCUCUAAGUUUGAAUGCUCCUUGAAACACGAGCUUAAAUUGUAUAUCACUUGAAUCUUCAAGUUGAAAUGCUCCUUGAAAUACGAGCUUAAAAUGUAUGGCACUUAAAUCUUAAAGUUUGAGUUAAAUCUUCAAGUUGAAAUUCUCCUUGAAACAUGAGCUUAACUGUAUGUCACUUAAAUCUUUAAAUUUGAGUUAAAUCUUCAAGUUGAAAUACUCCUUGAAAUACGAGCUUAAACUGUAUGUUACUUAAAUCUUCAAGUUAGAGUAAAAUUUUAAAGUUGAAAUGCUCAUCAUAAUACGAGAUUAAAAUGUAUGUGACAUAAAUCUUCAAGUUUGAGUUAAAUCUUCAAGUUGAAAUGCUCCUUGAAACACGAGCUUUAAAUGUAUAUCCCUUAAAUCUUCAAGUUUUAGUUGAAUCAUCGAGUUAAAAUGCUCCUUGAGACAUGAGUAUAAACGGUAUAUCAUAAAGCUCUUUAAAUUUGACCUAAAUUUUCAAGUUAAAAUGCUCCUUAAGAUACGAGCCCAAGUGCAUGUCACUCAUGGCCUGCAAGAGUAUAAACGGGAUACAACAAAACCAAAAAACAGUCACUCCUCUAGAACUACGUUAUGACUUGAUCCUCUUCAUUGAGGUACGUAGGCACUUAGAACCAUAUUCUAAGUUAAGUUGCAUGAGUGUCAAAAUAACCAAAUGAUUACACUUGAUUUGUUGUAUGAGUUAAAGCUAUGAGUAACUAUUCAUAAAACUUCAGACUUGCACCAAAUGGUGGUGGCUCGAUGGGGGCAAACCCUUAUGAAUAAAUUGAUUCAAGAUGAAGUAUUCAAAAUCUCUAAGUAUCCAAGUUCAAGCAUUAAAAUUCUUCAAGAUUAGUCUUUGAGAGACAAAAUAUCUCAACAAGACUUAAAGAAGGGGGCAUUUGUAGUCACUUAAAAUUUGUUCAAUAUAAAUUUAUAAAGUUGUUCGGAUUAUAUUAAAUUAAUAAAUAUAUUAGUCCAAAUAAACAUUAUGGAUUAAUAGGAUUGAUUUAAUUAUUUAAAUUCAGAUAAAUAUGAAUUUAAUUAAAGCCCUCUCCAUAAAGCCCACAUGAUAUUUCACAUAAAUCUGAAUGGCCGAAGAGAGUCCUAUUCCGAUUGCAACUCCUCUAUUCUAAAACUAUAAAUAGGGUCUCAUAAUUAAGAAAAGAGAGCCAAGAAUUCUAAAAAAGAAGAUAGACAAAGCUCGUGGAUCAAAAUCCAUAAAUUUCUCUACAAGUUCAAGGAUUCAAGUGUUCAAGUUCAAGAUUUGAAGAAGUCACGAUCAAGAUCAAGACCACCGAAUUCAAGAUUAAGAUCCAAGACCUUAAAUUCAACAAGAAAGUCAAGAUCAAGAUAAAGUUCAGACCAAGAUCAAGAUUAAGUCCAAGUAUCAGUUCAAGUCAAAGAUCAAGUUUAAAAAGUUCAAGAACGAUUGAGAUCAAGACCACCGAAUUCAAUAUCAAGCUCCCAGCCCUUGAAUUCAACUAGAAAGUCAAGAUCAAGAUAAAGCUCAAGUCUAGAGCAACAUCAAGUCUAAGUAUAAUUUCAAGUUCAAAAUCAAGUCCAAGAACGGUCGAUUUCAAGACUACCAGAUUCAAGAUCAAAAUAAAGUUCAAGUCAAGAGAAAGAUCAAGUACAAGUAUAACUUCAAGACCACGAUCAAGUUCAAGAUAAAGUUCAAGAACGAUCAAGAUCAAGACCACCAGAUUCAAGAUCAAGCUCCAAGCCCUUAAAUUCAACUAGAAAGUCAAAAUAAAGAUAAAGUUCAAGUAAAGAUCAAGUCCAAGUCCAACUUCAAGCUGAAGAUUAAGUUCAAGAAAAAUCAAGAUCAAGACCACCGGAUUCAAGAUCAAGGUCCAAGCCCUUGAAUUCAACUAGAAAUUCAAGAUCAAGAUAAAGUUUAAGUCCAAGAUCAAGAUUGAGUCCAAGUUCAAGUUCAAGUCAAAGAUCAAGAUCAGGAUAAAGAUAAAUCCCUUGUUCAAGAUCAAACUUUAAAUCCCUUGAAAUUAUAUUUGAAAAGGUGAAUUCAGAAUAAUCAUCGAGAUUGUAACAUUCGCACUUAAAAUAAUUAAUCGAUUAUUGCUGUAAUUUUUCGUUCUUGAUUAUUAUUUUCUAGCCACGAAUUUUAUUGCCUACAAAUUUAGGCAUGCCCAGUGGGACAAUCUCUACCUCUCAUCUCAACUUUUCAAGAAUCGAAGAAUAUCAAAAUAAUUCCACCAUAGAAGAACAACUAGCAAGCUUAACCAACGCAAUUGAAGGCUAUAAUAAGUGCGCACACUAAUAAGAUGCUAUACUUUCCAACCUAACAAAUAAGAUGGAUAAUAUAAUUGAAAAAAGAUCAAGUCAAUCACCUUUGAAGCUUUCUAAAGUUCAAAACGAAGGAGAGUCUUUCGUUAAGAAAACAAAGAUCAGAAAGAUUCAUAUCUCAAUUGAAGGUUUGAUUCCAAUUGAUCAACUAAAUAACAAUAACUUAGAGGCCAUGGAAGACAAAUAUAUGAGUCUUCAUUCCAAUUUUCUCUAAUAUAUGAAACGUCAUAUACACAAAGGAUUGAUAACUUGAAAAUGUCUGAAGGUUAUCAACCUCGUAAGCUUAAAAAAUUUGAUGGAAAAUGAAAUCCCGAACAACAUAUAGCGCACUUUAUUGAGACUUGAAAUGCUGCUGGGACGUAUGGUGAUUAUCUUGUCAAAGAGUUCGUUCGAUCACUCACAGAAAAUUUCUUUGUUGGUACACAAAUUUUGAACCUAAUUCUAUAGAUAGUUGGGAGCAAUUAGAGCAAGAGUUCCUUAAUUGUUUCUAUAGCACGGGACGUGUCGUUAGUACGAUGAAACUUACAAAAUCUCGUAAAGGUAAAGAUCAGUCCAUUUUUGACUUUAUCAAUCGCUGGAGAAGUCUAAGCUUCAACUGCAAGAUCUCCUUAGUGAAAUUUCUAGUAUUGAAAUGUGCAUCGAAGGUAUGAAUUGGGGUCUACACUACAUUGUGCAAGGAUUAAAUCCCAAUAUUCUCGAAGAGUUAGCAACUUGUGCACAUGAAAUGAAAUUAAGCAAGACUUUAAGAGAUAAUAAACAAUUUCGUGUCGAUGAACCUCAUGAAGAUGAAGAUAUAGAAGAACUCCAAAAUGGGGGCAAGUCUGCAUCAUAAUAUGACUUUGAAGAGUCAAUGCAUAUCUUGACACUCCUUAACGCAUGAGCUUAAAUUGCAAGUUAUAAUGCUCUUUGAAACAAGCGCUUAAACCGUAUGCCUUCAUUUUGAAAUGCUCUUUGAAACACGAGCUUAAACUGUAUGUCGCUUAAAUCUUAAAUUUGACUUAAAUCUUCAAGUUGAAAUGCUCCUUGAAACACGAGCUUAAACUAUAUAUCACUUGAAUAUUCAAGUUGAAAUUCUCCUUGAGAUACGAGCUUAAACUGUAUGGAGCUUAAAUCUUAAAUUUUGAGUUAAAUCUUCAAGUUGAGAUGCUCCUUUAAAGAUGAGCUUAAACUGUAUGUCAGUUAAAUAUUCAAGUUUGAGUUAAAUCUUGAAGUUGAAAUGAUCCUUGAAAUACGAGCUUAAACUAUAUGUCACGUAAAUCUUCAAGUUAGAAUUAAAUCUUAAGUUGAAAUUCCAUUCAAACGCGAGCUUAAACUAUAUGUUACUUAAAUUAUCAAAUUUGAGUUAAAUCUUCAAGUUGAAAGGCUCCUUGAAACACGAGCUUAAAUUGUAUGUCCCUUAUAUCUUCAAGUUUGAGUUGAAUCAUCGAGUUAAAAUGCUUCUUGAGACACAAAUCUAAACUUUAUAUCAUCAAGCUAUUUAAGUUUGAUCUAAAUAUUUGAGUUAAAAUAUUCCUUAAGGUACAAUUCUAAAUUGAAUGUCACUCCAGGCCAGCAAGAGUAUAAACUGUGUACAACACAACAAAAAAUCACUCUUUCCUCCAGAACUACGUUGUAACUUGAUCCUCUUCAUUGAGGUACGUAGGCACUUAGAACCAUAUCCUAAGUUUAGUUGCAUGAGUGUCAAAAAAAACAAAUGUUCACACUUGAUCUGUUGUAAGAGUUAAGCCUAUGAGUAAUCAUUCAUAAAAUUCAGACUUAAACCGAAUGGUGGUGACUCAAUGGGGGCAAACCCUUAUAUAUAAAUUGAUUCAAGAUGAAGUGUUCAGAAUCUCCAGGUAUCCAAGUUGAGUCUUCAAAUUCUUCAAGACUGCUCUUUGAAAGAUAAAAUAUCUUAACAAGACUUAAAGAAGUGGGCAUUUUUAGUCACUUAAAAUUUAUUAAAUUUAAAUUAUAAAGUUGUUCGAAUUAUAUUAAAUUAAUGAAUAUAUUAUUCCAAAUAAAUAUUAUGAAUUAAUAUGAUUGAUUUAAUUAUUUAAAUUUUGAUAAAUAUGAAUUUAAUUGAAGUCCGCUCCAUAAAGUCCAUAUGAUAUUUCACUUAAUUCUGAUUGGCCAAAGGGAGUCCCGUUCCAAUCGCAAUUUGUCUAUUCUAAAACUAUAAAUAAGGGUCUCAUAAUUCAGAAAAAAUGAACCUAGAAUUCUAAACAAGAAGAUAGAGAAAGCUUGUGGAUCAAAAGCCAUAAAUUUCUCUACAAGUUCAAGGAUUCAUGAAUUCAAGUGUUCAAGUUCAAGAUUUGAAGAAGUCAAGACCAAGUUCAAGAACGAUCAAGAUAAAGACCACCGAAUUCAAGAUCAAACUCCAAGCUCUUGAAUUCAACAAGAAAGUCAAGAUCAAGAUACAAUUCAGGUCAAGAGCAAGAUCAAGUCCAAGUAUAAGUUCAAGUCAAAGAUAAAGUUCAACAAGUUCAAGAACGAUCGAGAUCAAGACCACCGAAUUCAAGAUCAAUCUCCAAGCCCUUGAAUUCAACUAGAAAGUCAAGAUCAAGAUAAAGCUCAAGUCAAGAGUAAGAUAAAGUCCAAGUAUAAGUUCAAGUCCAAGAUCAAGUUCAAAAUCAAGUUCAAGAACGAUCAAUUUCAAGACUACUAGAUUCAAGAUCAAGAUAAAGUUCAAGUCAAGAGCAAGAUCAAGUACAAGUUUAACUUCAAGUCCACGAUCAAGUUCAAGAUAAAGUUCAAUAAUGAUCAUGAUCAAGACCAUUGGAUUCAAGAUCAAGCUCCAAGCCCUUAAAUUCAACUAGAAAUUCAAGAUCAAGAUAAAGUUCAAGUAAAGAUCAAGUCCAAGUCCAACUUCAAGCCGAAGAUUAAAUUCAAGAAAAAUCAAGAUCAAGGUCCAAGCCCUUGAAUUCAACUAGAAAGCAAGAUCAAGAUAAAGUUCAAGUCAAGAUCAAGAUCAAGUCCAAUUAUAAUUUCAAGUUCAACAAGUUCAAGAAUGCUCAAGAUUAAGACCACCGAAUUCAAGAUCAAGAUAAAAUUCAAGUCAAGAUCAAGAUCAAGUGCAAGUAAAAGUUCAAGUCCAAGAUCAAGUUCAAGAACGAUCAAGAUCAAUACUACCGGAUUCAAGAUCAAGAUAAAGUUUAAGUCAAGAUCAAGAUCAAGUCCAAGUAUAAGUUCAAGUUAAAGAUCCAGUUUAAAAACCAUCAAGGUCAAGACCACCGGGUUCAAGAUCAAGCUCCAAGCCCUUGAAUUCAACUAGAAAGUCAAAAUAAAGAUAAAGUUCAAGUCAAGAUCAAUUCCAAGUCCAAGUCCAAGUUCAAGUCGAAGAUUAAGUUCAAGAACAAUCAAGAAAAACACCACCGAAUUCAAGAUCAAUCUCCAAGCCCUUGAAUUCAACUAGAAAGUCAAGAUCAAAAUAAAGUUCAAGUCCAAGAUCAAGAUCAUGUCCAAGUUCAAGUUCAAGUCCAAGAUCAAGAUCAAGAUAAAUCCCAAGAUCAAGAUCAAACUUUAAUCCCUUGAAAUUAUAUUUGAAAAGGCAAAUUCUGAGGAAUCAUAAAGAUUGUAACACUCCCACUUGAAAUAAUAAAUCUAUUGUUCCUAUAAUUUUCCGUUCUUGAUUAUUGUUUUCUCGACGCAAAUUUUAUCGUCUACAAAUUCAGUCAUGCCAUGUGGGACAAUCUCUACAUCUCAUUUAAACUUUAAGAAUAUCAAAUGUCUUUCACUAUAGAAGAACAACUAGCAAUCUUAACCAAAGCAAUUGAAGGCUUGACAAAGUGUGCACACGAACAAGAUGCUUUAGCUUUCUAAGCUAACAAAUAAGAUGGAUAAAAUGAUUGAAAACAGAUCAACUCAAUCACCUUUGAAGCUUUCUAAAAUACAAGACGAAUGAGAGUCUUGUUUAAAGCAAACAAAGAUCAAAAUGAUUCAUAUCUCAGUUGAAGGUUUGAUUCCAAUUGAUCAAUUAAAAAACAUUAUUGUAGAGGUCAUGGAAGAAAAAUUUGAGUCUUCAUUCAAAUUUUCUCCAAUAUAUGCAAAGCCAUAUACAUAAAAGGAUUGAUAACUUGAAAAUGUCUAAGGGUUAUCAACCUCCUAAGCUUCAAAAAUUUGAUGACAAAAGAAAUCCCAAACAACAUAUACCGCACUUUAUAGAGACCUGCAAUGCUGCUGGAACGUAUGAUGAUUAGCUUGUUAAAGAGUUCGUUCGAGAAAUUAGAGAAAAUUCCUUUGAUUGGUACACAGAUUUUAAACCUAAUUUUAUAGACAGUUGGGAGCGAUUAGAGCAAGAGUUCCUUAAUCGUUUCUAUAGCACGAGACGUGUCGUUAGUACAAUGGAACUUACAAAGGCUCUUCAAGGUAAAGAUGAGUCAGUUGUUAGUUAAAUUUCUAGUAUUGAAAUGUGCAUCCAAGGUAUGAACUGGAGUCUUCACUACAUUUUGCAAGGAUUAAAUCUCAAUACAUUUGAAGAGUUAGCAACUCGUGCACAUGACAUGGAAUUAAGCAUCACUUUAAGAGAAGAUCAUGAAUCUCCUGUCUAUGAACCACAUGAAGAUGAAGAUCUAGAAGAACUCCAAAAUGGGGGCAAGUCUGCAUCAAAAGAUGACUUUGAAGAGCCAAUGCAUAUCUAGACUCUCCUUAACGCAUGAGCUUAAACUCCAAGUUACAAUGAUCCUUGAAAUACGAGUUUAAAUUAUAUGUCUUCAAGUUGAAAUGCUCCUUGAAACACGAGCUUAAACUUUAUAUCGCUUAAAUAUUAAAGUUUGACUUAAAUCUCUAUGUUUGAAUGCUCCUUGAAACACGAGCUUAAAUUGUAUAUCACUUGAAUCUUCAAGUUGAAAUGAUCCUUGAAAUACGAGCUUAAAAUGUAUGGCACUUAAAUCUUAAAGUUUGAGUUAAAUCUUCAAGUUGAAGUUCUCCUUGAAACAUGAGCUUAACUGUAUCUCACUUAAAUCUUCAAGUUUGAGUUAAAUCUUCAAGUUGAAAUGCUCCUUGAAAUACGAGCCUAAACUGUAUGAUACUUAAAUCUCAAGUUAGAGUAAAAUUUUCAAGUUGAAAUGCUCAUCAUAAUACGAGAUUAAAAUGUAUGUCUCAUAAAUCUUCAAGUUUGAGUUAAAUCUUCAAGUUGAAAUGCUCCUUGAAACACGAGCAAAAUGUAUAUCCCUUAAAUCUUCAAGUUUUAGUUGAAUCAUCGAGUUAAAAUGCUCCUUGAGACAUGAGUCUAAACGGUAUAUCAUAAAGCUCUUUAAAUUUGAGCUAAAUCUUCGAGUAAAUAUGCUCCUUAAGAUACGAGCCCAAAAUGCAUGUCACUCCUGGCCCACAAGAGUAUAAACGGGAUACAACACAGCAAAAGAUCAGUCACUCCUCAAGAACUACAUUGUGACUUGAUCCUCUUCAUUGAGGUACCUAGGCACUUAGAACCAUAUUCUAAGUUCAAUUGAAUGAGGGUCAAAAAAAACCAAAUGUUCACACUUGAUCUGUUGUAUGAGUUAAAGCUAUGGGCAAUCAUUCAUAAAACUUCAGACUUGCACCGAAUGGUAGUGACUCAAUGGGGGUAAACCCUUAUGAAUAAAUUUAUUCAAGAUGAAGUCUUCAAAAUCUCCAAGUAUCCAAGUUGAAGUCUUCAAAUUCUUCAAGAAUAGUCUUUGAAAUAUAAAAUGUCUCGACAAGACUUAAAGAAGGGGGCAUUUGUAGUCACUUAAAAUUUAUUGAAUAUAAAUUUAUAAAGUUUUUCGGAUUAUAUUAAAUUAAUGAAUAUGUAAGUCUAAAUAAAUAUUAUGGAUUAAUAUAAUUGAUUUAAUUAUUUAAAUUCAAAUAAAUAUGAAUUUAACAAAAGCCCUCUCCAUAAAGCUCAUAUGAUAUUUCACUUAAAACUGAUUCACCGAAAGGAGUCAUGUUCCAAUCCCAACUUCUCUAUUCUAAAACUAUAAAUAGGGGUCUCAUAAUUCAGAAAAGAGAUCCAAGAAUUCUAAACAAGAAGCUCGAUCAAGCUCGUGAUUCAAAAGUCAUAAAUUUUUCUACAAGUUCAAGAAUUCAAGGAUUCAAUAAUACAAGUGUUCAAGUUCAAGAUUUGAAGAAGUCACGAUCAAGUUCAAGAACGAUCGACAUCAAGAACACUGAAUUCAAGAUCAAGCUCCAAGCCCUUGAAUUCAACUAGAAAGUCAAGAUCAAGAUAAAGUUCAUGUCAAGAUCAAGAUCAAGUCCAAGUACUAGUUGAAGUGCAAGAUUAAAUUCAACAAGUUCAAGAACGAUCAAGAUCACGACCACCGAAUCCAAGAUCAAACUCCAAGCCCUUGAAUUCAACUAGAAAGUCAAGAUCAGGAUAAAGUUUAAGUCAAUAUCAAGAUCAAUUCCAAGUAUAAGUUCAAGUCCAAGAUCAAGUUCAAAAUCAAGUCAAGAACGAUAAAGAUCAAGACUACCGGAUUCAAGAUCAAGAUAAGUUCAAGUCAAAAUCAAGAUCAAGUCCAAGUAUAAGUUUAAGAACGAUCAAGAUCAAGCUCCAAGCCCUUGAAUUCAACAAGAAAAUCAAGAUCAAGAUAAAGUUCAAGUCAAGAUCAAGAUCAAGUCCAAGUCCAAGUUCAAGUCGAAGAUUAAGUUCAAGAACAAUCAAGAUCAAGACAACCGGAUUCAAGAUCAAGCUCCAAGCCCUUGAAUUCAAAUAGAAAGCCAAGAUCAAGAUAAAGUUCAAUUCCAAGAUCAAGUUCAAGUUCAAGUCCAAGAUCAAAAUCAAGAUCAAGAUAUAUCCCAUGUUCAAGAUCAAACUUUAAAUUCCUUGAAAUUUGAAAAGGCGAAUUCAGAGGAAUCAUAGCGAUUGUAACACUCGCACUUGAAAUAAUAAAUCGAUUGUUGCUAUAAUUUUCCGUUUUUUAUUAUUGUUUUCUCAACACGAAUUUUAUUGUCUACAAGUGUAAUUACAAUGUAGCAACUAGCAACCAAACAUGUCAAUAUAAUUACAAAACAAUGUUAUUACUAGCCUAGUAAUUACACCAAUUUCAUUUACCAUGUGACUUUCCAAACAGACCCUUAGAAUGAUAUGAUGAUAUACUAUUAUAUAUGUUAGUAAUUAUUUGAUAUAUGAUAUGAUAUGAUUUGAUUAAUAAUAAUAAUACUAUAAUAAUAUCUAUUGAUUGUAUGGUGUUCCUUUUUUUUUCUUUUUUUUUUGUAAUGUCAAGCCAUAUUGAAUAUGAUCUUUUUAAAUGUGCAGCAAUAUUAAAGCUGUGAUGUCAAUUUUUUUAUUUUAAUAUGAUAAUUCGGUUUAUAGCGAAGUAUGCACACGUCUAUGUGCAUGAGUUUCUAAAUGUGAGGGCACUGUUACAUAUAACUAAUUAUUUUGAACUUUUUAUCUUCAACUUUGAUCCUUGGUUUUUAAGAAAAAUAUGGAAUGAAACCAGCGAUCCUUUUAUUUAGCAAAAGUUUUAACUGAAAUAAAAGAAGAUUAAAUAAAUAAUUGUGCAUUAUAUUAUAAUUAUAACAUAAAAAGUGUGUGUGGAUCCUGCACCAAGUAAAAAAAACAAAAAGAGAAAAUAGAAAAUAAGGAGGAAUUAAAAGUGGUUAUGCUGAAAGGAAGGCGAGAAAGACUAGGCCAACAAUGAAAUGGGAGGAAGGGAGAUUAUUUCGGUAAUAAACAUAGGGUUGUGAAAGGUAUAAUUUUUAAUAUAAAAGGCGAUGAUGGAGAUGGUUAAUAGUGCAAGCUCUAGCAGGAAGAAGAACUAAUAAAAAAAAGAAGAAGAAGCCUGACCUCUUCUUCUUGUGAGAGUAAAAAUAUAUAAAACUCCCAAAAAAAUUACUAGAGUGAUCAAAAAUAGAAAAAAAAAGAAGCAUCGUCAUGGGGAGUGGUAAAGUGACAGUUGUGGCUUUGCUACUUUGCCUCUCAGUAGGGGUAAUAGCUGAGGACCCUUACCUCUACUUUAACUGGAACGUUACCUAUGGCACAGUCUCUCCAUUGGGCGUGCCACAACAAGGUAUUCUCAUCAAUGGCCAGUUCCCUGGGCCUAGAAUUAAUUGUACCUCCAACAACAACAUUGUCGUCAAUGUCUUCAAUAAUUUGGAUGAGCCAUUCCUAUUUACCUGGAAUGGUGUCCAACAUAGGAAGAACUCAUGGCAAGAUGGUACCCCAGGAACCAUGUGCCCAAUCAUGCCUGGUCAAAAUUUUACUUACCGAUUCCAGGUCAAGGACCAGAUUGGUAGCUACUACUACUUCCCUACCACAGCUUUGCACCGAGCAGCAGGUGGUUAUGGUGCCAUCAAUGUCCACAGUCGUGCUCUCAUCCCUGUUCCUUUCGACAAUCCUGCCGAUGAGUACAAUGUCUUUGUCGGUGAUUGGUACAACAAGGGCCACAAGACUUUGAAAAAGGUCUUGGAUGGUGGACACACCGUUGGCAGACCUGAUGGCAUCAUCAUCAAUGGUAAGUCUGCUAAGGUUGGAGAGGCAAAAGAGCCACUCUUUACCAUGGAGGCUGGCAAGACCUAUAGGUACAGAUUCUGUAACCUUGGCAUGAGGUCCUCAGUCAACGUUAGAUUACAAGGUCACCCAAUGAAAUUAGUCGAGCUAGAGGGAUCCCACACCGUACAAAACAUCUACGAUUCAUUGGAUAUCCAUGUUGGUCAGUGCCUCUCAGUAUUGGUGACUGCUAAUCAGGAGCCCAAGGACUAUUACUUGGUCGUUUCAAGCAGAUUCUUGAAGCAAGAACUCUCCUCUGUGGCCAUCAUCCGUUAUGCCAAUGGAAAGGGCCCAGCAUCUCCUGAGCUCCCAGCAUCCCCACCAGACAACACUGAAGGCAUUGCCUGGUCCAUGAACCAGUUCCGCUCCUUCAGAUGGAACUUGACCGCUAGCGCUGCCCGUCCCAACCCUCAGGGUUCCUACCAUUACGGACAGAUAAACAUCACCCGCACCAUCAAGAUUGUCAACUCUAUGGGCCAAGUAAAUGGUAAGCUUAGAUAUGGUUUGAACGGCAUCUCUCACUCAGAUACCGAAACUCCAUUGAAGCUUGUAGAGUACUUUGGAGCUGCCGAUAAGAGUUUCAAGUAUGAUCUCAUGGCUGAUGAAGCCCCAGCUGACCCAAGCAAGCUAACUGUUGCCCCAAAUGUGAAAAACACCACCUACCGUAACUUUGUGGAGAUCAUCUUUGAGAACCACGAGAAGAGCAUCAGGACAUAUCACCUUGAUGGAUAUUCCUUCUUUGCAGUAGCUGUUGAGCCAGGGAGGUGGAGCGCUGAGAAGAGAAAGAACUACAACUUAGUGGACGCAACAAGCAGGAACAACAUCCAGGUGUAUCCAAACUCAUGGGCAGCAAUAAUGUUGACAUUUGACAAUGCAGGAAUGUGGAACUUGAGGUCAGAGAUGUGGGAGAAGACUUAUUUGGGAGAGCAAAUGUACUUCAGCGUUCUCUCACCAAGCCGCUCCUUGAGAGAUGAAUACAACCUCCCUGAUAACCAUCCUCUCUGCGGUGUUGUCAAGGGCAUGCCCCUCCCAGCUCCAUACAAGGCUUAAUUGAAUCUCUUCUCUUUCUAUCUAAUAAUAAAGGGGACGGCUUAACUAUUAAUGGAUUCCAUGUAUUUGUUUUCCUUCCCCCCAAAAAAUAAUGAAUAAAAAGUUUUUUCUUUCUUUCAAAAUUAUGCAUUUUUCGUUUCUCUCCUACUCCUUCAUCAUAUUAUUUGAACUCAAACACCAAAAC